GACGAACGCUGGCGGCGUGCUUAACACAUGCAAGUCGAACGGUGAAGGGGUGUGCUUUUGUGGGCCCUGGGUGAGUGGCGAACGGGUGAGUAACACGUGAGUAACCUGCCCCCUUCGUCUGGAUACCCGCAAGAAAGUGUGACUAAUACGGGAUAUUCUGGGUCUGUCGCAUGGUGGGUCUGGGAACGAUGGCGCCGUUGGGAUUCGUCGGUGGGGGAUGGGCUGGCGGCUUAGCAGCUUGCUGGGGGGGUGAUGGGCUGCCAAGGCGGGGGGGGGUAGCGGGCCUGAGAGGGGGACCGGCCACCUUGCGACUGUGCUACGGCCCAGAGUCCUACGGGAGGCAGCAGUGUGGGAUAUUGCACAGUGGACCGAUGCCUGGUGCAGCAACGCGGCGUGCGGGUUGACGACCUCUUGGUUGUAUGCAGCUGUCGUGUGUGAUGAGGCUUGAUUGACGGUAACGGGAAAAGAAGCACCGGCUAACUACGUG
This 487-nucleotide ribosomal RNA is filed under the name uncultured bacterium. RNAcentral's name for it is "partial 16S ribosomal RNA". It matches the Rfam family "Bacterial small subunit ribosomal RNA", at positions 28 to 507 of the family's 1533-position model. The record is from RNAcentral.